AUGGCAGACGAAAAAGUUGAUAAGCUGGAUACUAAGGAGGAAAAACCUGAUGCCAAGAAGGCUGAUGCCAGUGGUAACAUUAAAAAGGCUAACCUUCAGGCUAAAAAGUCCAAGAAGAGGAAGGCCCACUGCAGCCAAGGUCCUGUUCUCAUCACAGGAAUUGGCAGAUAUUUUUGGUCUGCCAUGUAUUCCCAAAAGGCCAUGAACAAGAAGUACUCAACUGCUAAAUACAGAAUUGAAAGAUUCUUGCAACUGUUACAAAACCAGUUGAUGGUGACAAGAAUGGUGGUAACCCGGUGGUUAAACUUUGCAUAAUGUGUAGCUAUGAUCCUAUUGAAGAUGUGCCUUCAAAGCCGUUGAGCCACAGCAAGAAACCCUUCAAUCGGCAUGUGAGAAAACUAUAGGCUAGCAUCUUUCCUGGGACCAUUCUGAUCAUCCUCACUGAAUGCCACAGAGGCAAGCAGGUGGUUUUUCUGAAGCAGCUGGGCAAUGGCUUGCAACUUGUGACUGGAAUACUGGUCCUCAAUCUAGUUCCUCUAUGAAGAACACACCAAAAAUUUGUCAUUGGCACUUCCACAAAAAUUGAUAUCAGCAGUGUGAAAAUCCCAAAACAUCUCACUGAUGUAUACUUCAAGAAAAAGCAGCUGUGGAAACACAGACACUAGGAAGGUGAGAUUUUUGACCAAGAAAAUGAGAAAUACAAGACUAUAGAGCAGUGCAAGGCUGAUCAGAGAGCUGUGGACUCACAAACUUUACCAAAAAUCAAAGCGAGCUGUCAGCUCCAGGGCUACCUGUGAUCUGUUUGCCCCAAUGAAUGGAGUUUAUCCUCAAAUAUUGG
RNAcentral lists this long non-coding RNA (838 nucleotides) under Homo sapiens (human). RNAcentral's name for it is "non-protein coding lnc-CXXC4-4:1". The record is from RNAcentral. Lineage: Eukaryota; Metazoa; Chordata; Mammalia; Primates; Hominidae.